CCUACGGGAGGCAGCAGUGAGGAAUAUUGGUCAAUGGACGGAAGUCUGAACCAGCCAUGCCGCGUGCAGGAAGACGGCUCUAUGAGUUGUAAACUGCUUUUGUACAAGGGUAAACCUGAAUACGUGUAUUCAGCUGAAAGUACUGUACGAAUAAGGAUCGGCUAACUCCGUGCCAGCAGCCGCGGUAAUCCGGAGGAUCCAAGCGUUAUCCGGAUUUAUUGGGUUUAAAGGGUGCGUAGGCGGAUUGAUAAGUGAGAGGUGAAAUGUCCGAGCUUAACUCGCGAACUGCAUCUAAUACUGUGGGUCUAGAGAGUAGAUGCGGUAGGCGGAAUGUAUGGUGUAGCAGUGAAAUGCGUAGAGAUCGUACAGAACACCGAUUGCGAAGGCAGGUUACCAGUCUAUAUCUGACGUUGAGGCACGAAGGCGUGGGGAGCAAACAGGAUUAGAUACCCUGGUAGUC
Molecule: ribosomal RNA, 460 nt
Filed under: uncultured bacterium
Lineage: Bacteria
Description: partial 16S ribosomal RNA
Rfam family: Bacterial small subunit ribosomal RNA
Source: RNAcentral